AAGAUCGCACUGUUGCUUGCGCUGCUGAGCGCAGGUUUCAUCGCGAACAUGGUUUUCGUCGCCAAUUCAAGGACUGCGCUGGCUUGCAUCCCGAUCUUGUUCGUUCUUUUCCUCGCGAUGUAUUUCAGCAAACGCACGGCGGUCAUAUUGGUGAUAGGCGGCAUCAUUGCGGCGACCCUCGCCUGGAAUACGUCGUCAUACCUGCGUUCUCGUGUGGAGCAAGCGAUUACCGAGUAUCAAGCCUACCGCACGUCGCAUGCCGCAACAUCGGCCGGGCAGCGGCUGGAA
RNAcentral lists this unclassified non-coding RNA (288 nucleotides) under Hevea brasiliensis (rubber tree). Lineage: Eukaryota; Viridiplantae; Streptophyta; Magnoliopsida; Malpighiales; Euphorbiaceae. The record is from RNAcentral.